GGAAACCUCCACGUCAUUGCUGUCUUUCGUCUGAUGGGCUUGAACCGAAAUUACGUAUGAGCUUCGAAGUUGCGUUAUUUGUCCCAGCCCGUUAGCCCAUGACAGUGCUCUGAUCGCUUUUCUAUUUCCGCGUUGAAGAAACCCGCGAUUGUCGAUUCGGGAUACUGUUAAUCUUCCUCUUUCUUCCGUUUGCGAAUCUAUGUUUUACCCUCUACACUUCGUCUUCUCCGUUUCAAACUAUAUAAACUGAGCUGUAAUCGAUCACCUUCAAUAUUUUCGUUUCAAUCAAUCAAUACCUACUUAAUGCUUUCGAUUCACCUCCCUCUUUUCCUCCUUAUCUUUUCCUCCUUAUUUAUAUAUGCAUCUAUAGUUAUACUCCCACACUCGGUUCUGUUCUCAACUCCAUAAAAUAGUAUCAUACGAGUAAGAACUCUCCGAUUAGUCAAUUUUUUCUGGUUUCCUUGAUAGGUGUGAGACUAGAGAAGUAAUGCCUUUCACGUAGUGAUUUUCCAUUCUCACUUUUGAUCUCAGGUUAUGCUAUUAUUGAGCUUUGAUUUUUUAGAUUGUAUCAAGAUAUUAUGUGAUCUGCUGUUUGAAUUGAGUUUAUUGUUUAAACUUGUGUGCACCUUUAACGAUCUUAUUUGGGAAUGUGAUUAGUCAGUAGCUUUCAACAGAAAUGGUCAUAUUUAGAAAAUUUGGUUUCUUUCUUCUUUUUUUUUUGUGUUGCAGUUCAGUUUUUUUUUUUAAUGCAGAUUUAGAUGUAACAAGGUCGGAAGAGGAUAAGAACAUAUACAUAUGUGGCAAAAAGAUGAUUAUAGUUUGGGAAUUCAAAAAGAUGAGAAUAGCUUAUAAUAUCUUGCAGAAUUCUAAAUUGGAGGAGCAGAGGAUUAACCGAGAGCAUGAUGUCAUCCUCAAGGAAAUGCAAGAGGUAAUGGCAUCAUUACUCUGUUUUCUUAAAAAAAUUCAACUUUUCAUGUUCUUUUCUCGAUGGUUUUAGUUCAGAUGUUGUAUCAUAGUUUAUGUGUGUGUGAGUAAUUGUGAGUCUUUUGUUUCUGUUUCUUCACUCAGUUGCAUCUUCUUAAAAAUUCGAACUUUAUCUAAUUAAUUGUGAGACGAGAGUUUGAAGAAUUAUGUGCACAGUUCCACGGCUUAUGGUGAUUUAGAGAAGCUUCAUAGAUUGGUUGAGUGUGAGGGUUGCUCGAUUUCUGAAUUGAUGGUCUGGGCUACUAUGCUCUUCAGUGGUCUGCAUUUAACAACUGCACCGCCAUUGCUCAGUACAUUAUCGAGUCGAGAGACAAAACAGAAGCUACAAUCAUAAUUAAAAUUAGCAGGGAACCCAACUUCAAGAAUCUACUCUUCAAUUGGCUCCAUACACUCUGAACUGAAGAAAACAAAAUCAUUGAUGAGGUCAUGGAGAUAAAUGAUCGGACUUUUAAAUCUCACAAGAUGGAUGAAGAAGAAGUCUCCAUUGAAUAUGUACCGGAUGUAAAAGAGGAGAGCGCUGUGCUUGAGUUUCGCCUUAACCUUCUGCAAAUGAUUCAUUUAUUUAAGUAUAAAGGUUGAACUCUUGUGACCACUCAGAUGAUCAGUAUAAAGGUUGAACUCUUGUGUUCCUUAGAAAAUGACUACAUAUGAACCAAAGUUUAAGAUGAUGAUAGAUGAAUGCAAUUGCAGGCAACUAUUAAAUUUAUAAAAGAUUAAU
Molecule: long non-coding RNA, 1702 nt
Organism: Raphanus sativus (radish)
Lineage: Eukaryota; Viridiplantae; Streptophyta; Magnoliopsida; Brassicales; Brassicaceae
Exons: 4
Source: RefSeq, a predicted model, not a curated record